RNAcentral lists this transfer RNA (72 nucleotides) under Capra hircus (goat). It matches the Rfam family "tRNA". Rfam says of the family: Transfer RNA (tRNA) molecules are approximately 80 nucleotides in length. Their secondary structure includes four short double-helical elements and three loops (D, anti-codon, and T loops). Lineage: Eukaryota; Metazoa; Chordata; Mammalia; Artiodactyla; Bovidae. RNAcentral also lists the same sequence under 1 other name. The record is from Rfam by way of RNAcentral.
UCCCUGGUGGCUCAGACGGUAAAGCAUCUGCUUACAAUGCAGGAGACCCAGGUUUGAUCCCUGUGUGGGGAA